RNAcentral lists this ribosomal RNA (253 nucleotides) under uncultured bacterium. RNAcentral describes it as "partial 16S ribosomal RNA". It matches the Rfam family "Bacterial small subunit ribosomal RNA", at positions 524 to 776 of the family's 1533-position model. The record is from RNAcentral.
UACGUAGGGGGCAAGCGUUGUCCGGAAUUAUUGGGCGUAAAGAGCGCGUAGGCGGUCCGAUAAGUCGGCUGUGAAAGUCAGGGGCUCAACCCUUGAAAGCCGGCCGAUACUGUCGGACUAGAGUCCGGAAGAGGCAAGUGGAAUUCCCGGUGUAGCGGUGAAAUGCGCAGAUAUCGGGAGGAACACCGAUGGCGAAGGCAGCUCGGUGGGACGGUACUGACGCUGAGGCGCGAAAGCGUGGGGAGCAAACAGG